CGGUCUGGCUCUCCCGGGCAGGCGCCUCAGGAAACUUCCCCGGCUCCGAUCGCUGCGCUCCACCUUUUAUUCUAAUGGGCUCCGCAUCGCCAUAGGAACCCGAGCCCGCCCGGGCGGCAGCGAGCGCCGCCGCUCCCGGGGCCGGGCACGGCCGGGGAUGGAUGCGGGAGCCCGGGGCAGCCGCCAGCCCUGGAGAGCCGGAGCCCAGCUCGGUGACGGGGCCCUGUGGGCACAGCCUGGCCCUGCUCCUGUCCCCACGCAGCUGCAGCCAGGUGGGUGCCCCUGUUCCUCGGGAAUCAGCUCCUCCUGUCCUUGCUGGGUCCAUCCUGGGGCAGCUCCAGGCCUCCCUGAGCAGCCCCUGUGUCCCCACAGGUCCUUUUUGGUGGGGAUGCCGUGGGAUUUGGGGUCCCAAAGGGUCCCUCAGCGCCAGCCUGGGUCUCUCCAGGGAUUGCUGGGCAUUCACGGUCAGAGGGGCAGUCCCUGCACCAGCGCCUGGAGCUGCCCACCCGUGCCUUGUGCCCUCACCAGUGGCUUGCCAGGAAACCCAGAACUCCCUGAGCACCUCCUGAUCCUGUUGCUGCAUCCCGUGGCUGGUUCCUCCUCCCCAGCCAUCCCUGCUUUCCCCACAUCCCAUUCCUUCUCCUUCACCAUCUGUUUUUCCACAUCCAAUCCCUCCUCCCUCACCAUCCCUGCUUCCCCCACACUCAAUUCCUCCUCCCUCACCAUCUCUGCUUUCCUCGUGGCCAAUUCCUCCUCCCUCCCCAUCUCUCCAUGCCUGUACCCAUUCCCUGCUCCCUCACCAGCUCUGUUUUUCCCUGCAGGAGCUCUGGACUCACCCACGAGCCGAUCCCGAGGGUUUCCCCAUGGAAUAGGAGCUUUUCCAGGUGCCUGGGCACACGAGAAGCUGAAGUUGGUCGCCCCGGGGCACCCGAACCCGCCGUGCCCUGGAGCCCCCGGCCUCUGCCAUGAAUGAUGCAUCCACCAUGGAUUAUGAACUGCUCUCCCCGUCCCUGGUGGAGCACCCCGCCGGCGCCGCGGGCAUGGAUGCCGAGCAGAAAACUGUCUUUGCCUUCGUCAUCUUCCUCCUGGUGUUCCUGGUGAUGCUGAUGGUGCGCUGCUUCCGCAUCCUGCUGGACCCCUACAGCCGCAUGCCCGCCUCCUCCUGGACGGACCACAAGGAGGGCUUGGAGCGGGGCCAGUUCGACUACGCCCUGGUGUGAGGGGAGCCCGGGCCGAGCUCCAGCCCCGCUGCCCCUCCAUCCAUCCAUCCAUCCAUCCAUCCAUCCAUCCAUCCAUCCAUCCAUCCAUCCAUCCAUCCAUCCAUCCCUCCCUCCCUCCCUCCCUCCCUCCCUCUGCAGGGAUGCUCCAGGCCGGGGGGCGAGCAGGGGGUCCGGCCCCAGGGAGGUUUUCUAGGCGUUUCUCUCUUUUCUAAGCACUUUUCUCUCGGCAGCCCGCGGGACGCUGGGGGUGGGACAGGGGGGCUGGACGGGGACCCCGGUGCCCCCCGUGCCCCCGGGCACCGCGGACGGGGCAUGGCGGGACCUGCCCUCGGCCCGCGGGGCCCCUGGGCUGGGCUGGGCUCUGCCCGGUGCCAGGCCCGAGCUUUGACCCCCGCUGCCCCCCGUGAGUGCCCCCCGGCAGUGCCCCCGUGGUCCAGUGCGUGUCCGUGUGUCCUGUAGCUGAGCUGUGUCCGUCAGGGGUUUCUCGGCACCGGCCCCCAGUGCUGGCUUUGUUCCUCCUCUGCGCCACUCCCGAGCCCCCCCAAAAGGGAGGGGAGGCUGGAGACCCCUCUGUGCAGCCCCCCUUGGGCUCCAGUCCUGUCCGUGCCCAGCUGGUGACAAUGGAGCCAGGGGCACUCCUGGCCUGGGGACACCAGGACGGGUCAGGGGUCCCCAAAACACCCGGGAGAGGCUCCUGGGCCAUCCCUGCCGGGGUGUCCGGCCCUCCCCGGGCUCUCCAGGGCUCUGCAAGUGGCCGAGGGGCUGCCAAGGGCCGUGGUGGGCAGCGGGAGGGUCCUGCCAAGGGAUUUGGGCCCGGUGGGGAGGGAGAACCUCGCCCCCCUCAAUGGAAAUGAAGGGAUUUGGAAAUGAAGGGAUUUGGAAAUAAAGCAGCACCGUGCCGACCCCA
RNAcentral lists this long non-coding RNA (2127 nucleotides) under Junco hyemalis (dark-eyed junco). RNAcentral's name for it is "lncRNA (ENSJHYG00000007232.1)". The record is from RNAcentral. Lineage: Eukaryota; Metazoa; Chordata; Aves; Passeriformes; Passerellidae.